GACGAACGCUGGCGGCGUGCUUAACACAUGCAAGUCGUACGGUAAGGCCCUUUCGGUGCUACACGAGUGGCGAACGGGUGCGUAACACUUGCGUAACCUUCCCCCAACUUUAGGAUAACGCUAGGUUACUGGUGCUAAUACUAGUACUGUGCCACUUCUUCAUGGGGGGGGUUGGAUAGCUCCGGGGGUUGUGGAUGUAUUCGCGGCCUAUCGGCUUGCUGGUGUGGUAGUGUCGUACCGAGGCGGCUACGGGUAGCAGGACUGUGAGGGUGACCGGCCACACUGGGACCGAGAGACGGCACAGACUGCGACGGGAGGGAGCAGGGGGGAAUAUUGCACAAGGGGCGCAAGCCGGAUGCAGAAGCGCCGCGGGCGGGAUGACGGUCUUCUGGGUGUAAACCGAUUUCAGCAGGGACGAAGCUUUUUGUGACGGUACCUGAAGAAGAAGCACCGGCUAACUACGUG
This 465-nucleotide ribosomal RNA is filed under the name uncultured bacterium. Its description in RNAcentral is "partial 16S ribosomal RNA". It matches the Rfam family "Bacterial small subunit ribosomal RNA", at positions 28 to 507 of the family's 1533-position model. The record is from RNAcentral.